GGUUCCUGCUCUUCCCAGGCUGGAAUUGAGGGGGUUUUUUGAGGGAUAUCAGGUGGUUUUAGGUAAUACCAAGUUCCUGCUAUUCCCAUGCUGGAACUGAGGAGUUUUUUGAGGGAUAUCAGGUGGUUUGGGGUCUUAAGAGGGCAUUGGUGAGCUCAGGUGGAGACUCAUCCCUGCAGGAUUCCAGCCUGAAUUCCCAGGAGGGCUGGAUAUUCCAGGUUCCUGCUAUUCCCAGGCUGAAAUUGAGGUGUUUUUUGAGGCAUAUCAGGUGGUUUUAGGUAAUCCCAAAUUCCUGCUAUUCCCAUGCUGGAACUGAGGGAUUUUUUGAGGGAUACCAGGGAGUUUUGGGUCUUGGUGAGCUAAGCUGGAGACUCAUCCCUGCAGGAUUCCAGCCUGGGUUCCUGGGAGGUUGAUUAUUCCAAGUUCCUGCUGUUCCCAUGCUGGAACUGAGGGUUUUUUUGAGGGAUAGCAGGUGUUUUUAGGUAAUCCCAAAUUCCUGCUAUUCCCAGGCUGGAACUGAGGGUUUUUUUGAGGAGUACGAGGGGGUUUUAGGUAAUCCCAAGUUCCUGCUAUUCUCAGGCUGGAACUGAGGGUUUUUUUGAGGGAUACCAGGUGGUUUUAGGAAAUCCUAGAUUCCUGCUAUUCCCAGGCUGAAAUUGAGGUGUUUUUUUGAGGCAUAUCAGGUGGUUUUAGGUAAUCCCAAAUUCCUGCUACUCCCAUGCUGGAACUGAGGGCUUUUUGAGGGAUACCAGGUGGUUUGGGUCUUAAAAGAGCAUUGGUGAGCUCAGGUGGAAACUCAUCCCUGCAGGAUUCCAGCCUGGGUUCUUGGGAGGCUGAUUAUUCCAAAUUCCUGCUAUUCCCAGGCUGGAACUGAGGGGGGUUUUGAGGGAUACAAAGUGGGUUUGGGUCUUAGAAGUGCAUUGGUGAGCUCAUCCCUGCCAGAUCCCACCCUGGAUUCUUGGAGAGCUGCCGUGAGUAUUCCGGGUUCCUGCUCUUCCCAGGCUGGAACUGAGGGGGUUUUUGAGGGAUAUGAAGUGGUUUUAGGUAAUACCAAGUUCCUGCUGUUCCCAUGAUGGGGGAAUUGAGGGGGUUUUGAGGGAUAUCAGGUGGUUUGGGGUGUUAGAAGUGCAUUGGUGAGCUCAGGAGUAGACUCAUCCCUGCAGGAUUCCAGCCUGAAUUCCCAGGAGGGCUGGAUAUUCCAGGUUCCUGCUAUUCCCAGGCUGGAAUUGAGGGGUUUUUUGAGGGAUACCAGGUGGUUUUAGGUAAUCCCAAAUUCCUGCUGUUCCCAUGCUGGAAUUGAGGGCUUUUUGAGGGAUACCAAGUGGUUUUGGGUCUUAAAAGAGCAUUGGUGAGCUCAGGAGUAGACUCAUCCCUGCAGGAUUCCAGCCUGGGUUCCUGGGAGGUUGAUUAGUCCAGAUUCCUGCUGUUCCCAGGCUGGAACUGAGGGGGUUUUUGAGGGAUAGCAGGUGUUUUUAGGUAAUCCCAAAUUCCUACUGUUCCCAGGCUGGAACUGAGGGGUUUUUCGAGGGACACCAGGUGGGUUUAGGUAAUCCCAAAUUCCUGCUGCUCCCAUGCUGGAACUGAGGGAGUUUUUGAGGGCUACCAGGUGGUUUUGGGUCUUAAAAGAGCAUUGGUGAGCUCAGGAGUAGACUCAUCCCUGCAGGAUUCCAGCCUGGGUUCCUGGGAGGUUGAUUAUUCCAAGUUCCUGCUAUUCCCAGGCUGGAACUGAGGGGUUUUUUGAGGGAUAGCAGGUGGUUUUAGGUAAUCCCAAAUUCCUGCUGUUUCCAUGCUGGUAUUGAGGGUUUUUUUGAGGGAUACCAGGUGGUUUUAGGUAAUCCCAAAUUCCUGCUAUUCCCAUGCUGGAACUGAGGUGUUUUUUUGAGGGAUACCGGGUGGUUUUAGGUCUUAGUGAGCUCAGGUGGAGACUCAUCCCUGCAGGAUUCCAGCCUGGGUUCCCGGGAGGUUGAUUAGUCCAAGUUCCUGCUAUUCCCAGGCUGGAGCUGAGGGGUUUUUUGAGGGAUUACCAGGUGGUUUUAGGUCUUGGUGAGCUCAGGUGGAGACUCAUCCCUGCAGGAUUCCAGCCUGGGUUCCUGGGAGGUUGAUUAUUCCAAGUUCCUGCUGUUUCCAUGCUGGAACUGAGGGUUUUUUUGAGGGAUAGCAGGUGGUUUUAGGUAAUCCCAAAUUCCUGCUAUUCCCAUGCUGGAACUGAGGUGUUUUUUUGAGGGAUACCAGGUGGUUUUAGGUAAUCCCAAAUUCCUGCUAUUCCCAUGCUGGAACUGAGGUGUUUUUUUGAGGGAUACCAGACGGUUUUAGGUCUUGGUGGAGACUCAUCCCUGCAGGAUCCCAGCCUGGGGCUUGCAGGUGGGUGUCAGGGAACAAUUGAGAUGAAUUUUUAGGGAAAAAUAGGAAGGUUUGCUCUGAUUUUUAACUGCUGGCUGCCCACCCAGCUGCUUUAUCCCUCAUUUUGGGAUGUGAGGAUGGAUGGAACAGAAUGGCAAACCUGUAAAACAGGUUAUUUCACUGAAAACUCACUGUAGGGACCCUGUGGUGUAUCAAGGGCAACUUUUUUAUCCAGCAGAUCCUGGAGAACCCUGCUGGGAUGCCCAAAAGGUCUCCCAGCUCCCUCAGCAUCCAACAGCCAUCCAGAGGCCGGAAUCUCUAUAACAACACAGGAUCUUAACAGCAGGAUCCCAUCCCUUUUUUUUGGGAGACCAGAAUCUUCUCCAAGACCAUUUGUGGUCCAUAUCAGGGCCACAGUUGUGUCACCUCCUCACUUGAUAGAAGGGAAGGCUCCAGGGAGACCUUGGAGCCCCUUCCAAGAGAAGGGGGAGAGGGAGAGCUGGAGAGGGAAUUUGGACAAGGGAUGGAGGGACAGGAUAAGGGGGAAUGGCUUCAAACUGAAAUGUGGGAGCUUUAAAAGGGAUAUGGGGAAGGAAUUCCUGUCUGGGAGGGUGGGGAGGGUUUGGGCUGGAAUUCCCAGAGAAG
Myiozetetes cayanensis is the source of this 2985-nucleotide long non-coding RNA. RefSeq lists it as uncharacterized. The record is from RefSeq and is a predicted model, not a curated record. NCBI's taxonomy places the organism in Eukaryota, Metazoa, Chordata, Aves, Passeriformes, Tyrannidae. The transcript is spliced from 3 exons.